RNAcentral lists this transfer RNA (77 nucleotides) under Candidatus Manganitrophaceae bacterium. RNAcentral describes it as "tRNA-Arg". It matches the Rfam family "tRNA". Rfam says of the family: Transfer RNA (tRNA) molecules are approximately 80 nucleotides in length. RNAcentral also lists the same sequence under 2 other names. The record is from RNAcentral. Lineage: Bacteria; Pseudomonadati; Nitrospirota; Nitrospiria; Candidatus Troglogloeales; Candidatus Manganitrophaceae.
GCGCCCGUAGCUCAAUUGGAUAGAGCAACGGCCUUCUAAGCCGUAGGUUACAGGUUCAAUUCCUGUCGGGCGCACCA